Molecule: ribosomal RNA, 253 nt
Filed under: uncultured bacterium
Lineage: Bacteria
Description: partial 16S ribosomal RNA
Rfam family: Bacterial small subunit ribosomal RNA
Source: RNAcentral
UACGGAGGGGGCUAGCGUUGUUCGGAAAUACUGGGCGUAAAGCGCACGUAGGCGGCUCAGCAAGUCAGGGGUGAAAUCCCGGGGCUCAACCCCGGAACUGCCCUUGAAACUGCUAGGCUAGAAUCUUGGAGAGGUCAGUGGAAUUCCGAGUGUAGAGGUGAAAUUCGUAGAUAUUCGGAAGAACACCGGUGGCGAAGGCGACUCGCUGGACAAGUAUUGACGCUGAGGUGCGAAAGCGUGGGGAGCAAACAGG